UCCAGGGAACUCGAUGGCAGCAAUAUUGCAUUGAUAGGUUUGGUAAGAAAAGAUCAGUUUUUAUAAAGAAGUUACAAUUUACACAGUUUAAUAGGUGAAACAUGAAAGCUCGACUAGUUUAAUACAGUGAUAUGUACACUGCUCUUAAAAUCAUGGUAGUGUAAGUUUUAGAAUUUCUAACAUAAUUUAAAGUUACACUGCACUUAUGUCUCCAUCAUACUUUGUGUAUUUGUAAUACUUGAAGUACAAAAUUUGGAAACAACUAAUGUUUUAUUUUGGGCAGGCUACAUUAACAAAUUACAUUGCUUAUUUGAAGAGAUGUUUAAACACAUUAGAUAACUAAUUUUAGAUCUCUGUUCAAAUUGAAAUUUGAACUUUUCAACAUUGCUUAAAACUUUCAUUUUCCUUGUUUUUUCCCCCAGAUUUCUAUGUCCCCCCUUCUUAGCUUUUCCCCUUCUAAGCGAGAACAAUCUUGUGUUAAUGAAUAGGAAAUAUAUUAUCAGCAAAAUGAUUAUUGAAUCAUAUAGUUUUAGCAUAGAAGGAAUCUUAGAGAACUAUUUUCACCCUUUAUUUUACAAUAUAUUGAGGACCAGAGAUGAUUGUUAAUUGCAUAAUGGAGAAUUGUGUCUCAUCUUGUACCUCAUUGGUCCUUUCAUUAGUCACAUUGCUCGGAUAAGGAGGUGACUGUAUGCAACUAAUAAUGGUUAUAAAACAAAACAAGGGGAUGUGUUUGAGAAUACUUGUUAAUUAGAUAUUAACAAGAAAUUCUGUGACAAUAAUUAAAAACUUAUUUAACUUAACAUGGUGACUUAGUUUUUAGAGUGACUUCCAGUGAAACAAACUCAAAUACAAAAUAUAGACAUUUGAGAUAAUUUCAAAGCAAUGUUGCUUUUGAGUUUUCAGGUUUUCAAAAAGCAAUCUUGAUCCAUACAUUAAAAAAAAAAAAACAGGUAGCUUGAUAAACUUCUUGGGAAGUUUGAAGUAAUUGCCAUUACUACCAGUUAUUAAAUAAGAAAUGAAAUAGAUGCUCAAAACAGUGGUGCUAAUGCCUUUCAUUUUGUAACAGUGUUUUAGUUGGGUAGAUGGAUGUGCCACUCUGCCCCUUGUUAGAAACAGCUUGUUCAGACUAGAUAGUACUACUGCUGAGCAGUAGACAUGUAAGAUCUGUUAGGGAAUUCAACAGGUAGGAAAAUCAACGGGAUCGCACAGUUAUCUUUAACUUCUUUUGAUACCACAUUUUACAAAAACAGGUAAAUUGUCUGGAGGUUUUACAGCUUCUGUGGGUCAUUUAAAGUGCAUCUAAAUUAUUGAUUUUUCUCGGAAAGUUGAUAUAUUUCAUAAUUCUCAACACUAUGUAGGUGAGUGGAUUUAAUUAUACUUUAGUCUUGUGAUAAUAAGGAUUAUUCCCAGAUUAUUUGUAAUUAUAAAAUGAGUCUGUCACCUGCAAACCUUAAACUUUUUGCAGCUUUAAUUUGUCACCCAAGUUAUAAAAGAGGGCAAGUUUUGUUUUGGCUGAAUUGAGACUAUAUUGGGUAACAGGAGGGGAAAAGGAAGACUCCAGGACAGUCACUUGAAGUGGUGGGAUUACCUGCAGUUUAAAAAAUGUAUAGAAACUGGUUGUCAGAGAAGGCAAGUUCAUUUUUCAUCCCAAAUACGUUGUUAGUGUUUACGGUUACUUACUUAGACUCUUCUCAGAAUGUGAUUCUAAAGGAAAACAGGGCAUCUUACUCUUGUGGGAAUGCUUUUCUCAUGGCUGCUUUUCAGGCAGAUCUUAAGGCAGCUGUAGCUUGCACUGAAUGCAGAAAUUGCAAUGCUGACUUAUCUAGCCCUAAUUUUAUAGAAUAUUAGUUUUAGCAGUUCUUUUUUAAAAAGUGGUUUCAAAUCUUUUUACAUGGAUAGUCCUAUAAAAUAAAGCAUGAGAAUGAAGGAUGAAUAUUAUAAUAUUCUGGAUAGUCACAUGAGCUCGGAUUUUUUUUUUCAUUUAUUUGAUAUCGUUAACCCCUCUGGUAGAGAGGAUGUCUGCUUUGUAGAUGGAGAGUCUGUAAAUACUAAACAGAGUUCUGUAGUGCUGACUGAAGGAGUUCUGGAAGUAAUGUCUUCUAAUUCUGGCUUAUUAGGAGGGGAUAGCUGCUUUUAAAAGUGCAAACCAUCCACCCCACUGAAUUGUAAAAGAACUGCUUCUAAUCAAGCCGAUUCUAGUGCUAGCGCACCCUGCUGGUUGGCUGCAGUUAUUUCUCCUCUUCCUCCUCGCAAGAACAAACAUAAAGGUCAGCUGAGACCUAGAAGGGAAACUAAGACUUGGGUCACAUGGAUAGUAAACAGCAGAAGAGCCAAGUGUGAACCGAGGCGUAUCUUGAUUCUACAGAGGAGACCUUUCUGUUCUGCCUUCCUAUCUUUUCUAUGUCUAUCAUUUUAUCCUAUUAUGAAGUUUGUAAGUUUUAUCUCCUACUUAUAAAACUUAGCAUUAUAAAAGCAUUUUUCAGCUCACCCUUAUUUCAAGUGGUGUCUUAUUGCCCACAUUGUUUAUUCAUACCACCAUAUAAAGGUUCUUUGUCUUGGCUACUGGACAUUGGCACAGUGAUAUUGGUCAGAAUGGAAGCUGCUUUUUUUCUUUACUGAGUGACUAAGAUGAAAAAUAAUCUAGUUUAAUUAGAACUAAUACUCUCUGGGAUUAGAAGGUCUACAGCUUUAGUAAUGCUGUCUGUCCUUUCUGGUGAGACAUUUAACUCAAAAUGGAUACAUGUAAAAUGGAGGUGAAAUUUUCAGUUUAUAGCCGUAUGAAAACAACUUAAAAUAUUUUUACAUUUUGAAAUGUCUUAAGCUUCCUUGUUAAAAAUCUUUAAAAAGUGACAUUAAAUAGUUACUUAAAUCCUGUUUAGUUACUGUUAGUAAUUCAUAAUGCAAUAAUCUUUAAUUUAUAAAAGAAGAAAAACUUAGCAUUGAAUUCUUACCUUCUCAUUGGGUGGAUAACACAUAUUAAAAGCUAAUUUGUGGGGCAUUUAUAAAUAGAUUGUAUAGAUUAGCACUGCCCAGUAGAAAUAUAAGCCACAAUGUGAUUUGAAUUUUUCUGUAGCCACAUUAAAAAAUAAAAAGAAAAUAAGUUAAAAUUAAUAUUAUCAAUGCAUUUUGUUUAACCCAAUAUAUCAAAAAUAUUACCAUUUCAGCAUGUACACAUGAUUGCAGUGCUUUACAUUCUUUCUUUUUAUUUUCACACCAAAUCAUCAAAAUCCAGAGUGUGUUAAUGUACUUAAAGCAUAUCUCAGUUUGGACUAGCCAGACUAGUGCUCAGCAGUCACACAUGGUUAUCACAUUUGACAGUGCAGAUAUAGGUCGUAAGUAUGAAGGAUCAAGCAGAAACUGAACAGAGUCUUACAGGAUAGUUGAGGAAAGAUAAGCUGGGGGAGAACAUUGUCAUAAAGAAGGGUGGGAAUUAAGAUGGGAGACACUAGAAACCAGGUAGUAGAGUGCCCUGAAUCCAGUGUGGGGGUGUG
Molecule: long non-coding RNA, 3491 nt
Organism: Camelus dromedarius (Arabian camel)
Lineage: Eukaryota; Metazoa; Chordata; Mammalia; Artiodactyla; Camelidae
Exons: 2
Source: RefSeq, a predicted model, not a curated record